UAUGCUGCUUCCAGACGUAUAUGUUCGUGUUAUUUUCUUAUCCAAUCAUAUUUCAGCCUCAGGUGUUGCCAGGUUGAAAGAAAUCUGCCCUGAGGCCUUCAGUGUCAGUAGUGCUGGCGCUGGGAGUAUUACGUUGGUGAUUUGAGUGAUUUGAUUGGACGGUCAGAGAAAACACACCGUUUUCAAUCUAACGACCUGUACCAGGCACCUGGUACGAUCGAAAGUGACGUUUUCUCUGUUUCUGUCGAGCGGACAUUCUCAGCCUGAAGCGAUUUAAAAGUUAAGCCACAAAUACGACCAGACAGAGUGGACUUUAAUCGUUAGCAUGAAUGACGACAGAAGAGAAACACACGGAUAAUCUGCCCAACAACAGUCACUGAACUCGUCUUAAAGAAACACAGGAGGGAUUUAAUGUUCAACAAAUGUCGUUUAGAAAGUUCCGGAGCCGCGGCAACAAAACAGGUUGAACUGUCACAACACACACACGGAGUCUGGACUGUGUUUUUGUUUCAUCCUCACAGCGAAUCAGGCUCCGCGUCGUGUUAGAAAAAGUCGGACAAAUUUCACUGCAACGUUUGGGGUUUUUCACGUGGGAAAAUUUGGUCUUGGAAUUUGGACGACGUGAGGAAAAUGUACGUCCUCAGAACGACAGGACGGCGUUGGCAGGACCGCGGGUUUGGCCACAGUGUUCCAGGGCGGAGACUUAUCGCUGCCGUUAGCUUCUGUGAGCGACUAAAACCACAAACUCCACUAUCUGCACUUUGACGCCGACAGCGUCUGUUGACGAGCGGCUGAAUGAAGUCAGUCGACGUGGAGCGAACUCCAGCAGCACAAUGCUCUGUCUUUGACCAUUCAGCUCCACUGUUUACUCCGUCUGAUCCUGACCUUCCUGACGACAGGUGAUGGUGUUGAUGUUACGUCAAAGUUGCCGAUAAUCUACAGUAGCCUUUUGACUCAGGGACUCGAUGCGUGACUCAGUCUGUGUUUUAUCCCUAGUUAGUCAUGAAUCAACACCGAAAAGCAGAGUUCCCAAACUGAUGGAACUUUGUCUAAUCAACCA
This is a long non-coding RNA of Cynoglossus semilaevis (tongue sole), 1060 nucleotides long. RefSeq lists it as uncharacterized. The transcript has 3 exons. The record is from RefSeq and is a predicted model, not a curated record. Lineage: Eukaryota; Metazoa; Chordata; Actinopteri; Pleuronectiformes; Cynoglossidae.